GUGUUGUAUGAAAGGAGAGCAGGUUAGCACUCCCCUUGACAAGGGUGGAAGAGGCCCUAGGGCCUGACAACACACACACGGCUUAGGCAUUGCCACCUACUUCGUGGCAUCUAACCAUUAUUUUAU
Molecule: non-coding RNA, 126 nt
Filed under: Chinchilla lanigera (long-tailed chinchilla)
Lineage: Eukaryota; Metazoa; Chordata; Mammalia; Rodentia; Chinchillidae
Source: RNAcentral